AACGCGAAGAACCUUACCUGGGCUUGAACCGCACAGGACCAUCUUUGGAAACAGAGACUUCCCGCAAGGGACCUGUGUAGAGGUGCUGCAUGGCUGUCGUCAGCUCGUGCCGUGAGGUGUUGGGUUAAGUCCCGCAACGAGCGCAACCCUUACUCGUAGUUGCCACCCGCAAGGGGGAACUCUACGAGGACUGCUCCGGAUAACGGAGAGGAAGGUGGGGAUGAGGUCAAGUCAGCAUGGCCUUUAUGUCCAGGGCUACACACGUGUUACAAUGCGCGCUACAAAGCGUUGCAAACCCGCGAGGGGGAGCUAAUCGCAAAAAAGCGCGCUCAGUUCGGAUUGCAGUCUGCAACUCGACUGCAUGAAGCCGGAAUCGCUAGUAAUGGCGCAUCAGAACGGCGCCGUGAAUACGUUCCCGGGCCUUGUA
This 427-nucleotide ribosomal RNA is filed under the name uncultured Acidobacteriota bacterium. RNAcentral's name for it is "bacterial SSU rRNA". It matches the Rfam family "Bacterial small subunit ribosomal RNA", at positions 958 to 1385 of the family's 1533-position model. Lineage: Bacteria; Pseudomonadati; Acidobacteriota. The record is from RNAcentral.